Molecule: ribosomal RNA, 643 nt
Filed under: Erythrobacter sp. K384
Lineage: Bacteria; Pseudomonadati; Pseudomonadota; Alphaproteobacteria; Sphingomonadales; Erythrobacteraceae
Description: bacterial SSU rRNA
Rfam family: Bacterial small subunit ribosomal RNA
Source: RNAcentral
CACAUGCAAGUCGAACGAACCCUUCGGGGUUAGUGGCGCACGGGUGCGUAACGCGUGGGAACCUGCCUUUAGGUUCGGAAUAACUCAGAGAAAUUUGAGCUAAUACCGGAUAAUGUCUUCGGACCAAAGAUUUAUCGCCUUUAGAUGGGCCCGCGUUAGAUUAGAUAGUUGGUGGGGUAAUGGCCUACCAAGUCGACGAUCUAUAGCUGGUCUGAGAGGAUGAUCAGCCACACUGGGACUGAGACACGGCCCAGACUCCUACGGGAGGCAGCAGUGGGGAAUAUUGGACAAUGGGCGAAAGCCUGAUCCAGCAAUGCCGCGUGAGUGAUGAAGGCCUUAGGGUUGUAAAGCUCUUUUACCAGGGAUGAUAAUGACAGUACCUGGAGAAUAAGCUCCGGCUAACUCCGUGCCAGCAGCCGCGGUAAUACGGAGGGAGCUAGCGUUGUUCGGAAUUACUGGGCGUAAAGCGCGCGUAGGCGGCUUUUCAAGUCAGGGGUGAAAUCCCGGGGCUCAACCUCGGAACUGCCCUUGAAACUGGAUGGCUAGAAUACUGGAGAGGUGAGUGGAAUUCCGAGUGUAGAGGUGAAAUUCGUAGAUAUUCGGAAGAACACCAGUGGCGAAGGCGACUCACUGGACAGUUAUU